Molecule: ribosomal RNA, 496 nt
Filed under: Fusarium tricinctum
Lineage: Eukaryota; Fungi; Ascomycota; Sordariomycetes; Hypocreales; Nectriaceae
Description: eukaryotic LSU rRNA
Rfam family: 5.8S ribosomal RNA (bases 135-288)
Source: RNAcentral
UCCAACCCCUGUGACUACCUUAAUGUUGCCUCGGCGGAUCAGCCCGCGCCCCGUAAAACGGGACGGCCCGCCAGAGGACCCAAACUCUAAUGUUUCUUAUUGUAACUUCUGAGUAAAACAAACAAAUAAAUCAAAACUUUCAACAACGGAUCUCUUGGUUCUGGCAUCGAUGAAGAACGCAGCAAAAUGCGAUAAGUAAUGUGAAUUGCAGAAUUCAGUGAAUCAUCGAAUCUUUGAACGCACAUUGCGCCCGCUGGUAUUCCGGCGGGCAUGCCUGUUCGAGCGUCAUUUCAACCCUCAAGCCCCCGGGUUUGGUGUUGGGGAUCGGCUCUGCCCUUCUGGGCGGUGCCGCCCCCGAAAUACAUUGGCGGUCUCGCUGCAGCCUCCAUUGCGUAGUAGCUAACACCUCGCAACUGGAACGCGGCGCGGCCAUGCCGUAAAACCCCAACUUCUGAAUGUUGACCUCGGAUCAGGUAGGAAUACCCGCUGAACUUAA